Molecule: ribosomal RNA, 253 nt
Filed under: uncultured bacterium
Lineage: Bacteria
Description: partial 16S ribosomal RNA
Rfam family: Bacterial small subunit ribosomal RNA
Source: RNAcentral
UACGAAGGGGGCUAGCGUUGCUCGGAAUCACUGGGCGUAAAGCGCACGUAGGCGGCUUUCUAAGUCAGGGGUGAAAUCCUGGAGCUCAACUCCAGAACUGCCUUUGAUACUGGAGAGCUUGAGUCCGGGAGAGGUGAGUGGAACUCCGAGUGUAGAGGUGAAAUUCGUAGAUAUUCGGAAGAACACCAGUGGCGAAGGCGGCUCACUGGCCCGGUACUGACGCUGAGAUACGAAAGCGUGGGGAGCAAACAGG